RNAcentral lists this ribosomal RNA (761 nucleotides) under uncultured bacterium. RNAcentral describes it as "bacterial SSU rRNA". It matches the Rfam family "Bacterial small subunit ribosomal RNA", at positions 1 to 758 of the family's 1533-position model. The record is from RNAcentral.
UAGAGUUUGAUCAUGGCUCAGAUUGAACGCUGGCGGCAGGCUUAACACAUGCAAGUCGAGCGGUAGCACAAGGGAGCUUGCUCCCUGGGUGACGAGCGGCGGACGGGUGAGUAAUGUCUGGGAAACUGCCUGAUGGAGGGGGAUAACUACUGGAAACGGUAGCUAAUACCGCAUAACGUCGCAAGACCAAAGAGGGGGACCUUCGGGCCUCUUGCCAUCAGAUGUGCCCAGAUGGGAUUAGCUAGUAGGUGGGGUAAUGGCUCACCUAGGCGACGAUCCCUAGCUGGUCUGAGAGGAUGACCAGCCACACUGGAACUGAGACACGGUCCAGACUCCUACGGGAGGCAGCAGUGGGGAAUAUUGCACAAUGGGCGCAAGCCUGAUGCAGCCAUGCCGCGUGUGUGAAGAAGGCCUUCGGGUUGUAAAGCACUUUCAGCGAGGAGGAAGGUGGUGAACUUAAUACGUUCAUCAAUUGACGUUACUCGCAGAAGAAGCACCGGCUAACUCCGUGCCAGCGGCCGCGGUAAUACGGAGGGUGCAAGCGUUAAUCGGAAUUACUGGGCGUAAAGCGCACGCAGGCGGUUUGUUAAGUCAGAUGUGAAAUCCCCGGGCUCAACCUGGGAACUGCAUUUGAAACUGGCAAGCUAGAGUCUCGUAGAGGGGGGUAGAAUUCCAGGUGUAGCGGUGAAAUGCGUAGAGAUCUGGAGGAAUACCGGUGGUGAAGGCGGCCCCCUGACGAAGACUGACGCUCAGGUSGAAGA